UUCGGGGUAGGGGUGAAAUCCUAUAAUCCCGGGAAGACCACCAGUGGCGAAGGCUGUCUGCUAGAACGCGCCCGACGGUGAGGGAUGAAAGCUGGGGGAGCGAACCGGAUUAGAUACCCGGGUAGUCCCAGCUGUAAACGAUGCAGGCUAGGUGUUUGAACGGCCACGUGCCGUUCUAGUGCCGCAGGGAAGCUGUUAAGCCUGCCGCCUGGGGAGUACGAUCGCAAGAUUGAAACUUAAAGGAAUUGGCGGGGGAGCACCACAAGGGGUGAAGCUUGCGGUUUAAUUGGAUUCAACGCCGG
This 302-nucleotide ribosomal RNA is filed under the name uncultured archaeon. RNAcentral describes it as "bacterial SSU rRNA". It matches the Rfam family "Archaeal small subunit ribosomal RNA", at positions 620 to 921 of the family's 1478-position model. The record is from RNAcentral.